GACGAACGCUGGCGGCGUGCUUAACACAUGCAAGUCGAGCGAUGAAGCACCUUCGGGUGUGAAUUAGCGGCGAACGGGUGAGGAACACGUGAGAAAUCUGCCUUCAACUCUGGGAUAACUCCGUGAAAACGGGGCUAAUACCGGAUAUGAAACCUGCGGGCAUCCGCGGGUUUGGAAAGUUUUUCGGUUGAAGAUGAUCUCGCAGCCUAUCAGCUUGUUGGUGAGGUAAUGGCUCACCAAGGCGACGACGGGUAGCCGGCCUGAGAGGGCGACCGGCCACACUGGGACUGAGACACGGCCCAGACUCCUACGGGAGGCAGCAGUGGGGAAUAUUGGGCAAUGGAGGAAACUCUGACCCAGCGACGCCGCGUGAGGGAUGAAGGCCUUCGGGUUGUAAACCUCUUUCAGUAGGGAAGAAGCGAAAGUGACGGUACCUACAGAAGAAGCACCGGCUAACUAUGUGCCAGCAGCCGCGGUAA
This 479-nucleotide ribosomal RNA is filed under the name uncultured bacterium. RNAcentral describes it as "partial 16S ribosomal RNA". It matches the Rfam family "Bacterial small subunit ribosomal RNA", at positions 28 to 523 of the family's 1533-position model. The record is from RNAcentral.